Molecule: ribosomal RNA, 622 nt
Filed under: Juxtafabia muliniarum
Lineage: Eukaryota; Metazoa; Arthropoda; Malacostraca; Decapoda; Pinnotheridae
Description: partial 16S ribosomal RNA
Rfam family: Bacterial large subunit ribosomal RNA
Source: RNAcentral
UUUUUUUAAGGGCCGCGGUAAUUUGACUGUGCAAAGGUAGCAUAAUAGUUAGUUUUUUAAUUGGAAUCUUGUAUGAAUGGUUGAACAAAAGAAAUACUGUCUCUGUAAUUAUUAUUGAAUUUAACUUUUAAGUGAAAAGGCUUAAAUUAUUUAAAAAGACGAUAAGACCCUAUAAAACUUUAUAAGUGAAACUACUUAAUUAAAUUAAUUAAUAAAAUUUUAGUAGUUUAAUUAUUUUGUUGGGGAGACAAUAUUAUAAUUUAAAAUAACUGUAAAUAAGUAAUACAAAUAUUAUUGUUUAGAGAAAAUAAGAGAUCCUAAAUAAAGAUUAAUAGUUUAAGUUACUUUAGGGAUAACAGCGUUAUUCUUUUUGAGAGUUCAUAUCGAAAAAAGAGAUUGCGACCUCGAUGUUGAAUUAAAAUUUCUAGGUGAUUGCAGAAGUUGCCUAAGAAAGUCUGUUCGACUUUUAAAUUUUUACAUGAUUUGAGUUCAAACCGGCGUGAGCCAGGUUGGUUUCUAUCUUUUAAUAUUAAAAAAAUUAUUUUAGUACGAAAGGAUUAAAUAAUUAAAUUUUUUUUAUGGUUGGAAAAGAAAGUCGUUUUGGCAGAAGAUAUGCGUAAGA